UACGUAGGGGGCAAGCGUUGUCCGGAUUCAUUGGGCGUAAAGAGCGUGUAGGCGGCCAGGUAGGUCGGUUGUGAAAACUGGAGGCUCAACCUUCAGAGGUCGACCGAAACCAUCUGGCUAGAGUCCGGGAGAGGAGAGUGGAAUUCCUGGUGUAGCGGUGAAAUGCGCAGAGAUUUGGAGGAACACCAGUGGCGAAGGCGGCUUCCUGGCCUGUUCUUGACGCUGAGGCGCGAAAGCUAGGGGAGCAAACGGG
RNAcentral lists this ribosomal RNA (253 nucleotides) under uncultured bacterium. RNAcentral describes it as "partial 16S ribosomal RNA". It matches the Rfam family "Bacterial small subunit ribosomal RNA", at positions 524 to 776 of the family's 1533-position model. The record is from RNAcentral.